AGAAAAUGUUGCGGGAGGAAGGAUAUAAAGAGCAAUUGAGGAAGCUUAGCUCAGCAAACAGUCUCUUAAGCCUAUAAUAUACCGGAGGUAGCGAGGAAAAUAAGAAAGGAAAAAAGGGAGGAAAUAACUAAAAUGGAAGGAAAGUUCAUUUAAUUGGAUUAUUUUUCUGAGGAAACUUCUAAGAAGUAUGAUAAAAGAUUUACUUACUUACGUAUAUCUAUAUAUGUAUCUAAUAUUUCUUCUCUAAUCUUCUCUAAUCUACCUAGUGAAUAAUAACUAUACGCUAAUCUGACUUUUCGUGUCAAGAUAUUUCGUGGAGAGCAAAGAUUUCAGUUAGAAUAUAGUUUUUGAACUUUGAAACUUUCAAGUUGAGCAAUUGGAUGUGUAAUAUUUCGACUGAGAAAUUAAGUUUAAAGUUGGUAAGAAUGGAGAGAAGUUGGUUUGUCUGGCUAAAUGAGUGGCUUAUUCAUUAAGCAUUCUGUCCUUUGUCCUCUCUUGAGACGAUUCGUAUUAUGACUUUGGGGUUUAGUCCCUCUAUUUUAGUAAAUAGAACUCAACGUAUGCUUCGCGUAAACGCAAUCUCAUUAUCAAUUCAGAUUAAAAUUUAAUCGAAAUUGCUACCUAAGGUGAGCUUGACGCCUGAGAUUCGAUAAAUUAUUUAGCUUACCAUGUACUAUCCAAUAUAAAGUAGUUCAUGCACGAUGAAGACACAGGCUACGUAAUACAUACAGAUCUAUUUAACCUUAUUCCAGCUAAUAUUUAAUAUAAAAUCUAACGUUUAAUAUAUUUUCGCUAUUCAGAAUACAUUUAACGCAUUGUAUAAAUUUUUACACACUAAAUUCUUAACAUAAGUCUAAGAUCUAAUAUCCCUAAUAUACAGAUUCAGAUUGAAUACGUUUAACUAAAAUUUGAUGUAUUUAAUCUGUCUAAACUACUUGCGUUAAAUGUC
Long non-coding RNA from Bombus impatiens (common eastern bumble bee), 949 nucleotides. RefSeq lists it as uncharacterized. The record is from RefSeq and is a predicted model, not a curated record. NCBI's taxonomy places the organism in Eukaryota, Metazoa, Arthropoda, Insecta, Hymenoptera, Apidae. The transcript is spliced from 3 exons.